AGAGAAGAAAAUGAGAGGAAAGAGAAUUAGAGUUGGCUGGAUUUUGGGGCGAGUCUCAUUGAUGGGGAGGUAGUUUCCAGGCAUGAUUAUUAGGUCUCUCAUUUUCCAUUAUUUUCAGAUCUUUUUUUUAUUUUUUAUUUUAUUUUUAUUUAUUUAUUUUCAGACGUUAUUUGCUACUUGAUGUUUUUGUUGUUUUUUGAAUAUCAUUAGUUGAUUAAUGUUUGAAGGAGCCAUGUUUUAGCUUUUGCUUAAGUUCAUUCUGAAGUAUUUAACCGUUGUUCCGAGCAUUGAUUUGUUGAUUGGUAUA
Molecule: long non-coding RNA, 307 nt
Filed under: Vitis vinifera (wine grape)
Lineage: Eukaryota; Viridiplantae; Streptophyta; Magnoliopsida; Vitales; Vitaceae
Description: long non-coding RNA (VVIN_LNC000460)
Source: RNAcentral